Molecule: long non-coding RNA, 1460 nt
Filed under: Saimiri boliviensis boliviensis (Bolivian squirrel monkey)
Lineage: Eukaryota; Metazoa; Chordata; Mammalia; Primates; Cebidae
Description: lncRNA (ENSSBOG00000036429.1)
Source: RNAcentral
GCAUUGAGCAGCUGUGUGGCGUUAGAUAAGUCACCUAUAGCCUAAACAGCAGCAGUAAUGGCAAGGAAUAGUAACAUCAUUUGCAGAUUUCAUUUGUGUUUUUGCCCCAUUUACAUUCAUUGAGCACCUAUUAUGUACCAAGUGCUCUUCUGGGCACGUGGGAAAUGGCAGAGAGCAAGAAGGGCAGAAACCCUUGCUCUUGGGGAGCUUACAUUCAUUUCAUGUAUGUUACCUCUAAUCUCGAUCACUGUGUUCAAUGAGUGUUAUUUUAGCCCCGUUUUACAGAUGGGGAAACUGAGGCACAGAGCAGUCAAGUCCUUUGCCCGAAGUCACACAGCUAGUGAAAGUCCAUGCCUGGAUUCCAGCCCUAGUCUGUGUGACCCCAGAUGAUGUGUGUCAUCUAUCCCCUUGGGUCUUUGCUAUCAAAUGUCAACAGGGACCCCAGCCAUGCCCACCUCGCUGGCACAGUGAGAUGGUGAAGGGUUCCAAAUGACAAAUUGUAAAAGCACAAGGCUGCCCCAAGUCCUGAUGUUCUCUUCUCUGUGAGAGACUUCUAACUCUGCAAGCUCGUGAUAGGCCGAGGCUGAGACCGUGGGGCCCAGCUGUCCUCGACACUGCCAGCUGCUUUAGUAGCUUUGGCCUGUUUUUCCCUCUUCGUACCAGGUGCCCUUUGUGCCUGCCCAUCCCGCAGAGCCUUGUCCUACAGGGGACCGUCAUGGCUGACAGGCGACACCAGCGCUAUUCCCUGGAGGCAAGGGUUGUCCUGAACAGCCAAGAAGAAACCCUGCAGACUGUGGUCCUGGGCUGCCAGGCCAGACAACCCUAUGUGAGUGGGUCUGGGCACAGCUGGGAAGGGGUCUGAGAGCUGGAAGGAGGCCCCAGCUGCCUCCUGACCUCCCUGCAUGCGUGUGUACAUGCAUGUGGUUGUCCCUCCCAGGUCUGUACACGUCUGAUGCAUCCAUAUGAUGGCAAAGCCAUCCCCAGGAACACAGAGGGGUGCCUGGUUACUUGGAAUCGGCACAAGGUCUCGGUCCAGCUGAACAGAUCUGACUCCGACUUUGCAUUUUUCUUCCAACUCGGACAUCCCCACAGACCAACAUUUUCUCCAAACUUCCAGGAGCAGGCAGCUGCCGGGCACUACAGAGUGCACAGCCUCAACGGGUCCCUAUCUGUGCAAAUGUCUGGCCAGGAGCUGGUUCUGCUGGAGGUCGACGCCAGCCAGGACGCUUGAAGGAGCAGCUGGGGCUGGGGCGUGAGUGUCCUUCUCCACCAGGCUGUCCUCAGUGUCCCCGGGGCUGUUCGUCUUCAGCUGUCUGGAAAGAUCAGCCCAGCAAGGUAACAGUCCCCAAGUGGCCUGUGACAAGGCAGGGAGACCACAGAGCAAAAGGCGCGUGUCCCGGGCAUGGGAAACCCUCACUCAGAGGCCCCUCUCUGUCCCGCUGAGGCCACACCCAAAUCAG